AGUGAACGCUGGCGGCGUGCCUAAUACAUGCAAGUCGAACGGUAACAGGAAGUAGCUUGCUACUUUGCUGUUUAGUGGCGCACGGGUGAGUAAUGCAUAGGUCAUGUGCCCCAUAGUCUGGGAUAGCCACUGGAAACGGUGAUUAAUACUGGAUACUCUCGAGAGGGGAAAGUUUUUCGCUAUGGGAUCAGCCUAUGUCCUAUCAGCUUGUUGGUGAGGUAAUGGCUCACCAAGGCUAUGACGGGUAUCCGGCCGGAGAGGGUGAACGGACACACUGGAACUGAGACACGGUCCAGACUCCUACGGGAGGCAGCAGUAGGGAAUAUUGCUCAAUGGGGGAAACCCUGAAGCAGCAACGCCGCGUGGAGGAUGAAGGUCGUCGGAUUGUAAACUCCUUUUCUAAGAGAAGAUUAUGACGGUAUCUUAGGAAUAAGCACCGGCUAACUCCGUG
Molecule: ribosomal RNA, 451 nt
Filed under: uncultured bacterium
Lineage: Bacteria
Description: partial 16S ribosomal RNA
Rfam family: Bacterial small subunit ribosomal RNA
Source: RNAcentral